Jatropha curcas is the source of this 172-nucleotide non-coding RNA. NCBI's taxonomy places the organism in Eukaryota, Viridiplantae, Streptophyta, Magnoliopsida, Malpighiales, Euphorbiaceae. The record is from RefSeq and is a predicted model, not a curated record.
GGGAGAUGGAGGAGGAGGAGACUUGUAGUAGUAUGGAGGAGGUGGAGAUUUCUUUGGUGGAGGAGGUGAUGUAUAAUGGUAUGGAGGAGGUGGAGAUUUCUUUGGUGGAGGAGGUGAUGUAUAGUGGUAUGGAAGGAGGUGGAGAUUUCUUUGGAGGAGGAGGUGAUGUAUA